RNAcentral lists this ribosomal RNA (253 nucleotides) under uncultured bacterium. RNAcentral's name for it is "partial 16S ribosomal RNA". It matches the Rfam family "Bacterial small subunit ribosomal RNA", at positions 524 to 776 of the family's 1533-position model. The record is from RNAcentral.
UACGUAGGGGGCGAGCGUUGUCCGGAUUUAUUGGGCGUAAAGAGCGUGUAGGCGGCCAGGUAGGUCUGCUGUGAAAACUCGAGGCUCAACCUCGAGACGUCGGCGGAAACCAUCUGGCUAGAGUCCGGAAGAGGAGAGUGGAAUUCCUGGUGUAGCGGUGAAAUGCGCAGAUAUCAGGAAGAACAUCCGUGGCGAAGGCGGCUCUCUGGGACGGUACUGACGCUGAGACGCGAAAGCGUGGGGAGCGAACAGG